RNAcentral lists this ribosomal RNA (482 nucleotides) under uncultured bacterium. RNAcentral's name for it is "partial 16S ribosomal RNA". It matches the Rfam family "Bacterial small subunit ribosomal RNA", at positions 30 to 507 of the family's 1533-position model. The record is from RNAcentral.
AUUGAACGCUGGCGGCAGGCCUAACACAUGCAAGUCGAGCGGAUGAAGGGAGCUUGCUCCUGGAUUCAGCGGCGGACGGGUGAGUAAUGCCUAGGAAUCUGCCUGGUAGUGGGGGAUAACGUCCGGAAACGGGCGCUAAUACCGCAUACGUCCUGAGGGAGAAAGUGGGGGAUCUUCGGACCUCACGCUAUCAGAUGAGCCUAGGUCGGAUUAGCUAGUUGGUGGGGUAAAGGCCUACCAAGGCGACGAUCCGUAACUGGUCUGAGAGGAUGAUCAGUCACACGGGAACUGAGACACGGUCCAGACUUCUACGGGAGGCAGCAGUGGGGAAUAUUGGACAAGGGGCGAAAGCCUGAUCCAGCCAUGCCGCGUGUGAAGAAGGUCUUCGGAUUGUAAAGCACUUUAAGUUGGGAGGAAGGGCAGUAAGUUAAUACCUUGCUGUUUUGACGUUACCAACAGAAUAAGCACCGGCUAACUUCGUG